Non-coding RNA from Ciona intestinalis (vase tunicate), 1122 nucleotides. Lineage: Eukaryota; Metazoa; Chordata; Ascidiacea; Phlebobranchia; Cionidae. The record is from RefSeq and is a predicted model, not a curated record.
AUCAAGACAUUUAGAUAUUAUGUGCUAAAGGUGUCCCAUCUUCCCCCACCCUAUUGUAUCUUAGUUUUUCCUUCAAAACUAAUUGUAUGAGACAAAAUCAUAUAAUUUAAAAAAAAAAUUGAAAAAUGUCCCUGAUUUCAAUUAACCGCUUUUUUGUAAAUUUGAAAUCUCAAACAUGUGCUGGGCUACGUAUGUAUUUAUAAAUCGGGAAGUCGUACCAUAGGUCGUCGCAACCGAAAGCAGUAAUUUUGUCCCAUAAGCUGACACCCUAGUAAUUGAUAGUUAGUCUGUGUAGCGAGACGUUAAGAAGUCACGAUAAAUGCUCAUGACUUGAUGGAAAUAGCUGCUUUGCGACCGACGGUCAAUUGAAGUAUGUGAAAAGCUUGCCACCCAAAUCCGCCAUGUCGUGCCGUAGCCAAAAAAAGAUAUAAAAAGAAUAGACCAAUGUGUUAGGGAAUGAGCCAAUGCUGGGGCCGUGAUUAGGGUGCAAAGUCGAGCCGCGAAACCACUGCAAGGUUUGGCGGGUGAAAAACGUGACGACAUGAACGGUUUUUAUAAGGUAUUAAACAUCACCCUUUGCAACACGAAGAACCAUUGUACAGAGGUAAAGAAUGCAGGUGCCUAAAAGGAGUGUAUAUUUUAUUAAAUUCUAGAAAUCAGUUAAAAAUCGUUAAGCGAAGAUGGUUGAUCAGGCAGAGUACAAUCUACCGGCCGGACAGAUAUGCAUCUUUUUCAAUGGACGAUUGUUUUGUUGCUGGUCGUCUCAUCCGUUUCUUCUCGAAGACCUUUGAAAGUUCAUAAUGACAGAAGGUGCCGAGCAGAGGUUACUUGUCGUCAUGAGAAUACGUUUUCACCAUGGACAUGUAUGUACAUAACUUGCUCGCACAUUGAAGACCCCGUGAUAAGUGUUGUUUGCGACCGUAAAUGUAAAGAUCCAAAAACCCAUGUCAUUUUGGAUAGUAAUAACUAUUGCUCUAAAGAAAUCAAACUGAUAAUUGAACGGCGACGAAGACACAGGGGUGUUAUGAUACCAAUUGAAGUCGUUGUUGGGUGUGAAUGCGUAUGGUGCGGAAACAGAUGAAAGAAUUAUUACGUAUUUUAUUGAUAUAGUAAGGUGGGGGA